GACGAACGCUGGCGGCGUGCUUAACACAUGCAAGUCGAGCGGAAAGGCCCUUUCUUUGUUACUCGAUCGGCUAACGGGCGGGUAACACGUGAGUAAUUUGCCCUUCACUUGGGUAGAACCUCCGGAAACGGUGUCUAAUACCCGCUACGUCCAUUCUCCUCAUGCGUUGGUGGUGGAAGGUUGUUCGGUGGGGGGUGUGCUCGCGGCCUAUCAGCUUGUUGGUGGGGUAAUGGCCUACCAAGGCUUCCAUGGGUAGCCGGCCUGAGAGGGUGACCGGCCACACGGGGACUGAGACACGGCCCAGACUCCUACGGGAGGAAGCGGUGGGGAAUAUUGGACAAUGGGCGAAAGCCUGAUCCAGAAACGCCGCGGGAGGGAGGACGGCCUUCGGGUGGUAACCCUCUUUCACCUGUGACGAAGCGAAAGUGACGGUAGCAGGAGAAGAAGCACCGGCCAACUACGU
RNAcentral lists this ribosomal RNA (463 nucleotides) under uncultured bacterium. RNAcentral describes it as "partial 16S ribosomal RNA". It matches the Rfam family "Bacterial small subunit ribosomal RNA", at positions 28 to 506 of the family's 1533-position model. The record is from RNAcentral.